GUACCAUCCAUGAUCAUCAUUCAAUACAACCCAGAGAAAAAUAAAUACAGCAAAGCAUUCAUGAUAAAGUUAAUUUGCACUUUAUGAAGGAAGAGGAAGUAGAAAGUAGUCAAGUUUUAAAUUGCAAAUAUUUCCAGAUAUGGGGUGGCGUCAUUGACGAUACUGCAGCACUUUAUGGUAAUUCAGCCAGGAUUUGCAUGGAUCUUUUUUUUCAACUAUAUUUUAAUUGAUUGAGUGAGUCAAGGAGGUGAAAUUGGUUACAUUCAUUAUUUGUUCAUUUUCAAUCAAAAACAAUUAUCAGUAGUUUAAGCACAAAAUAAUAUAACAUUUAGUAGUUUUAUCAGUACAAUUACCUCAUAAUGCUGGCAACAGCUCUUUCUGCAGCAGAUAGUCCAUUAGAAGUUAGAUUGGGUACACGAUUGCAUAGCACUGCUGCUGUUAACUUUUGAAAUUGACAUUCUGCACCAGUAUCAAAUUGUGUACGUUUCCAUUUUUUCACAGAUAGGCUAAAGCAUCAUACUAAUGUAUAUGCCUACUAACUAGGCAGUACAGAGUGAGAUACACCUGACAUUGCAUAUUUCAAACGCUGGCACUGAAUUUAAAACUUCAGGGGAGCAUUCAGGAAGUCUGUCAAUGUUCUAACAACUUUACUACAACGUUGAACUGCGGCGUGUUAAAAACUUAGGGAAGCAUUCAGGAAGGAAAAACAUUACAAAAGGAAGUCUCAACCAUCCUGACAAUUUUCAUAAAUGCUCAAGGCAACGUUCAUGAACAUUAUUACAACGUCGGGCUGUGGUGUGUCGAAUACCGCCACCUUGAAAGUGCUAGGGCCACCCACCCACAAAUACUUCUAUAUUAUACUUCUCAUAUUGAUAUCUCUUAAUACAUUUUUUGGAUUGUGCUUAUUUUGUUAUAUUGCUAGGUAUUACUGCACUGUCGGAGCUAGAAACACAAGCAUUUCGCUACACCUGCAAAUCUGUGUACACGACCAAUACACAUAAUUUGAUUACUUUGCAGUUUACAUACCCACACUCAACUCUAUCCUCUGGAUGUGCAUCCUUCUGUAUUGUCAGCAACACUAUAUUCUUUGGUUUGUCACGGUGUCCUUUUGAUUCAUACGCUCACCUGUACCAAGGCUAUAAAGAACUGAAGUACCCACACAAUUCACCAGUAGUUCCUAAUUCACUCCACUAACUGAAGCUAUUCAAAAAACAGUAUCAAUACUGAUAUAGUAGUACUGUACCCAAUAUAUGCAGUACCAAUGAAGUAGUGAUUCUAUCACAUUCUAGAGAACAUAGAAUAUCAAAUCACAAAGAACAGUUUUCAAAGACCUGUAGCAUUCACAAGGCCGUAGGGCCAGACGGAUUACCAGGACGUGCACUCCGAGCAUGCGCUGACCAACUGGCAAGUGUCUUCACUAACAUUUUCAACCUGUCCCUAACGGAGUCUGUAAUACCAACAUGUUUCAAGCAGACCACCAUAGUCCCUGUGCCCAAGAACAUUAAGGUAACCUGCCUAAAUGACUACCAACCCAUAGCACUCAUGUCUGUAGCCAUGAAGUGCUUUGAAAGGCUGGUCAUGCCUCACAUCAACAGCAUCCUCCCGGAUACCGCCCCAACAGAUCCACAAUCUCUGUUGCACUCCACACUGCCCUUUCCCAUCUGGACAAAGCUCAGCGUUCAAAGCUCAUCACUAAGCUAAGGACCCUGGGACUAAAUACCUCCCUCUGCAACUGGAUCCUGGACUUCCUGACGGGCCGCCCCCCAGGUGGUAAGGGUAGGCAACAACACAUCUGUCACGCUGAUCCUCAACACGGGAGCCCCUCAGGGGUGCGUGCUCAGUCCCCUCCUGUACUCUCUGCUCACCCAUGACUGCAAGGCCAGGCACGACUCCAACACCAUCAUUAAGUUUGCCGACGACAACAGUGGUAGGCCUGAACACCGACAACGACGAGACAGCCUAUAGGGAGGUCAGAGACCGGGCCAUGUGGUGCCAGGAUAACAACCUCUCCCUCAACGUGAUCAAGACAAAGGAGAUGAUUGUGGACUACAGGAAAAGGAGGACAAAGCACACCCCCAUUCUCAUCGACAGGGCUGUAGUGGAUCAGGUUGAGAGCUUCAAGUUCCUUGGUGUCCACAUCACCAACAAACUAUCAUUGUCCAAACACCCCAAGACAGCCGUGAAGAGGGCACGAUAAAGCCUAUUCCCCCUCACGAGACUGAAAAGAUUUGUCAUGGGUCCUCAAAAAGUAUAACAGCUGCACCAUCGAGAGCAUCCUGACUGGUUGCAUCACUGCCUGGUAUGGCAACUGCUCGGCCUCCGAUCGCAAGGCACUAGAGGGUAGUGCGUACGGCCCAGUAUAUCACUGGGGCCAAGCUUCCUGCCAUCCAGGACCUAUACCAGGCGGUGUGUCAAAGGCCCUAAAAAUGUUCAAAGACUCCAGCCACCCUAGUCAUAGACUGUUCUCUCUGCUACCGCACGGCAAGCGGUACCGGGGCACCAAGUCUAGGUCCAAAAGACUUAACAGCUUCUACCCCCUGAACAGCAAAUCAAAUGUCUACCCAGACUAUUUGCAUUGUCCCUCCACCCUGUUUUACACUGCUGCUACUCUCUGGUUAUUAUCUAUGCAUAGUAACUAACUCUACCUACAUACAUAUUACCUCGACUAACCGGUGCCCCCGCACAUUGAGUCUGUACCGGUACCCCCUGUAUAUAGCCUCGCUACUGUUAUAUUACUGCUGCUCUUUAAUUAUUUGUUCAUUUUAUUUCUUACUUAUCGAUUUUUUACCUAAGACUUAUUAUUCUUAAAACUGCUUUGUUGUAAGGUUACACCUGUUGAACUCGGCGCAUGUGACAAAUCAAAUGUUAUUUGAUUUAGUGUUCUGAUGAUGCUUGAGUGAUGUCCACCAUGACAUUCCACUAAUGAUAUUCAACAAGCACCUCUGAUACUCUGCGUCUUAAAUGGCACCGUAUUCCCUAUACAGUGCACUACUUUUGACCGGGGACCAUGGGGCAGUAGUGCACUAUAUAGGGAAUCGGUUGCCAUUUUGGACACACCCUCGGUCUAAGCUAAUGCCGAUUAGAGCCAACCUGAUCAUAGAAAGGUGUUGAUACUGUUUGUAUUGAGGAGAUGUGACUUCCACUCAUUGGGGAAUGGGAGGAUAUAGUAGGAAAACAAGUGAGAAGAGACAGACGCAGAUAUAUAACAAGAGAGACGCAGCUAUAUAAUGAGAAAGCGAGACAGAUAUAACGAGAGAGAGACAAGCAGCUGUCCCAGUUCCCUGUAGCCCCAUCCUUUACCACUAAUCUGUACCAAGGGCCAGAGGCUGGCCCGUCUCCCCACCCAUCCCUCUGCUAACACAUCUGGGUGGACAAGAUAAGGCCACCAAGACUCUCACACAGAGAGAGAGGAGGGCACAAGGGGAUGUAGAAAGGAGGCUAGCACAUUGGGUUUUUGUUUGUGUCCUGCUGUGCAUUUGUUCCUGUUCCAUCUCUCUGGAUCUCUAACUCUCUACAUCAGCACAUUUAAAGAGCUUGAUCAGUGGUCCGAUCACACACACACACACACAGCUUAUUAAAACAGGCAAACCAAGCAGAAGAGCGAGAGAGGGACCAUUACAAAACCAGUCAAGUUUCCUCCAAUUAAAAUCUGAGACAAGACAAAAAGCUUUUCCUCUGAGUUUCAACCACAAACCAUGAAAACCUCCCCCAUCUUCAUACACACACACACAGACAAAAGUGGAAGAAAGAAAAUAGCCCUUACACAAGCCUCAGACAGAUGACAUGAUGUAGCCUGGCCAAGCCAUGGCAGUGCUUUCAUUUCGUAACAUGGAGAUUAGAAUACAAUCAAGCAGUGUGCCAACCAUUUCAGCAGCUAACCCUACCGUACCGCUCCUCCUUUCCGCACCAACCGGUCUCCAUAUAGGUAGUCUGUUAAUAUCAUACAACAUUUAAUGACCACAUCCCACCAUUAGAGCCCCAAUGUAAACUGUACCAUGGUACACAUUUUCAAAGGGACUGUAAGAAAAAAACUGAAUUAAAGUUUAUAGCCCCUAUGAUAUUACCCUUAUUUGAUGAUAAACUGCUGCUUCAAGCUUUCAUGGGAUAAAGGGAAAGGGGGAUACCUAGUCAGUUUUACAACUGAACGCCUUCAACUGAAAAUGGGUCUUCAGCAUUUAACCCAACCCUCUGAAUCGAGGCAAAUUGAUGAGGUGACUGCUGAUCGGCAUGUUGGUCAGGAAGGUAAAAGGUGGGGAAUAUGAGCGUUAAAGACAAAAUCCGGCCAAAACCACUAAUUGGUAUAAUUUACAGUGUUAAAUAACACUAUGUGAGAUCACUAAUUCUGGUGAACAAAUGUUGCAUUUUAUCGUUAUAAUAAGGUUGGUAGCAACAUGUGGAAAUCUGUUGCAGCUCAGAUUGACUACCAAACCCAUAAUGCAAUGCUCCCUCUAUGGGCUGGCUGGCUAGCUUGGUCGGUAGCUAGCUAGCAAGCGUAGCUAGACACAAUAACACCAAAGACAAUAUCAGCAUGUGAAGUAGCGAGUUGGCUGUAAAGAAAAUCACCUAAACUGCACUAUGAAUUUAGGAGUCUACAAGCUCACCAUGUUCAACCUGCAGUUCGAUGUACCUCGCAGAGUGGAGUCUGACAUUCACAAUGGCCAUGCAACGGCACCAUACAAUGCACCCUGGACUGAAGAGGCAGACAAAUAGGAGAAAUGUGGUGGACCCUCAUAAGAAAUUGAGGUAGGAAUAUUGCAAAAAUAUGAUCAUUGGCUAAUUUGAGAGAAAAUAACCUCCCGCGACAUGACAUCAAGCCAGUAUUGAAAUCUGACAUGUAUGAUAGACGUUUCCGCGAUCUAAAAGUCGUAUUCAAAUUAACUUCCAGUGUAGUGAGAGCAGCUUUAUUUCGGCCUGCUUGAACGGCAAUAGCCCAGAUAAACAUGAAAUUACCCCAGGAAUAGAUAUAACGUCGCUCAGAGAUGAACAAAAAUAAUAUAGCAUUCAAAAUGGGUGAAUCUUUCCUUUAAGAGUACGGACUGACUCUGGGUCAGUGAGUAGAUACCUUUCUUAUAGGGUGGUAGAUUGAAGAAGCAAAGGCUCCUCGAAACACCCAUCCGGUGGCUCUUUGGUGCGUUACGUCACAUAGUAAGUGUUGAAAUGGAAGGACAACCCUGGGUUAUACCAUUCAAGAUAGAUGGAGGGGAACCAUAGCCCUCCCAGAGGGAGUCUGGAGUCACAUAGAAAAACAAUAAACAAUGUUAAAAAUACCUGAGAGAGAGAGAGAAAGGAAGUAUGAGAACGAGAAAGGGGUAGUGAGCAAACAGAAAAAGGGAUAAAAAGAAUAGAAAGAAAAUACUAUUUGUUCAAAGACAUUGUCCCACACCAAAU
RNAcentral lists this long non-coding RNA (5388 nucleotides) under Salmo salar (Atlantic salmon). RNAcentral describes it as "lncRNA (ENSSSAG00000094114.1)". The record is from RNAcentral. Lineage: Eukaryota; Metazoa; Chordata; Actinopteri; Salmoniformes; Salmonidae.